Molecule: long non-coding RNA, 518 nt
Filed under: Bos indicus x Bos taurus (hybrid cattle)
Lineage: Eukaryota; Metazoa; Chordata; Mammalia; Artiodactyla; Bovidae
Description: lncRNA (ENSBIXG00000000055.1)
Source: RNAcentral
AUGGGUACGACCCCUUUACCUGAUUUGAAGAGGACAUUUGUGAGGAAGUCGCUGUGUAGAUGCAGAGAUGAGUUAUGGGGCUGCCGUUCUUGUCCUGCAGCUGCUCCUGUCUCUGACAGCAGUUUAAGGGAGAGCCCAGAGGACCAGAGCCCUGCCCCUUUAAUUAGCUCCAGGAGCCAGGCAAGGAAGCCAGUGAGGAAAGUGGCAGCUGAGCAGAGUACAAGAUUGUCAUUCAUGAACUCACUCCCACAGGAUACUAUAGCAUCCAGAGAAGGAGAGAGGAUGCAGGAAAUCUGUACCCCUCAGAUGCCAAGAGGAAAAAUGUAAAUGCUGGAUAUAUAAUAGGACCAUCCACAGCACAUGAAUCAGCAUUGAGAAACCGUUUCCAGCCAAGAGUUUGAAAGUGGAGAAGGGUGUGUGUGAAUUUGAACCUGAAAAAGAGUCUGCAAUUCCUACCGCUGUCCAUUACUAGUUGUGUGAACCGGGUGAGUUAUUGAUCCUGCCUGUGCCUUGGGUUU